UUCCUACGGGGGGCUGCAGUGAGGAAUUUUGCGCAAUGGGGGAAACCCUGACGCAGCAACGCCGCGUGAGUGAAGAAGGCCUUCGGGUCGUAAAGCUCUGUCAAGUGGGAAAAAAUCUUCAUCGUGAACAGCGCUGAAGACUGAUGGUACCACUAAAGGAAGCACCGGCUAACUCCGUGCCAGCAGCCGCGGUAAUACGGAGGGUGCUAGCGUUGUUCGGAAUUACUGGGCGUAAAGGGCGUGUAGGCGGUUUGGCAAGUCGGGCGUGAAAGCCCAGGGCUCAACCCGGGAAGUGCGUUUGAAACUGCCAUUCUGGAGUAUGGGAGAGGAGAGUGGAAUUCCCAGUGUAGAGGUGAAAUUCGUAGAUAUUGGGAGGAACACCCGUGGCGAAGGCGACUCUCUGGACCAAUACUGACGCUGAGACGCGAAAGCGUGGGGAGCAAACAGGAUUAGAUACCCCGGUAGUC
Molecule: ribosomal RNA, 467 nt
Filed under: uncultured Desulfarculaceae bacterium
Lineage: Bacteria; Pseudomonadati; Thermodesulfobacteriota; Desulfarculia; Desulfarculales; Desulfarculaceae
Description: bacterial SSU rRNA
Rfam family: Bacterial small subunit ribosomal RNA
Source: RNAcentral